GUGGGGAAUCUUGCACAAUGGGGGCAACCCUGAUGCAGCGACGCCGCGUGAGCGAUGAAGUCCUUCGGGAUGUAAAGCUCUUUCGACGGGAACGAUAAUGACGGUACCCGGAGAAGAAGCUGCGGCUAACUACGUGCCAGCAGCCGCGGUAAUACGUAGGCAGCAAACGUUGUUCGGAAUUACUGGGCGUAAAGAGUGUGUAGGCGGUUGGGUAAGUUUGGUGUGAAAUCUCCCGGCUUAACUGGGAGGGUGCGCCGAAAACUGCCUGGCUUGAGUACUGGAGAGGAAAGCGGAAUUCCUGGAGUAGCGGUGAAAUGCGUAGAUAUCAGGAGGAACACCGGUGGUGUAGACGGCUUUCUGGACAGUCACUGACGCUGAGACACGAAAGCGUGGGGAGCAAACAGGAUUAGAAACCCCUGUAGUCC
RNAcentral lists this ribosomal RNA (425 nucleotides) under uncultured bacterium. RNAcentral describes it as "bacterial SSU rRNA". It matches the Rfam family "Bacterial small subunit ribosomal RNA", at positions 354 to 796 of the family's 1533-position model. The record is from RNAcentral.